This 1287-nucleotide long non-coding RNA is filed under the name Apteryx owenii (little spotted kiwi). RNAcentral's name for it is "lncRNA (ENSAOWG00000001209.1)". The record is from RNAcentral. Lineage: Eukaryota; Metazoa; Chordata; Aves; Apterygiformes; Apterygidae.
AUGGUGGUUACCAAAUCUGGAAGCCAAGUCGGGAGCAGGAGCAUCGCCCGGCACGCGGAGGCGUGCCUGCAGCACCGCGUCCCGGGGGGAGCGAGGGCUCUGCUGCCUUCGGCCGAGGCAGCGCGCGGUGCAGGCACCCGGCCAAGCGCGGCGCCCGGCAGAGCUGCGCCACGAGCCGGCGCGGCUUCCGCCAGCUCUCCCCCGGCAGAGAGCUCCCAGGCACCGGUCCCCCCGCCGCACACGGAGCGCGCUGCCCGGAGAGCGCGCCCGCACUGCGGCACAGCGGCGCUCCAGAGGCCUCCUCCCGCGCGGGCACUGUUAUCAGAGGAAGCAGAGCGCCAGCCACUGCACCAGCCCUUUCCUUUCCCUUUCCCUUUUUUAAAUGCUGCAUGCAGACUGGCUGCUUUUCCUAAACUAGUUUCUGUCCCUCCGCGCCAAGCCAGCGGCAGGUUUGGGAAGCCACUGGAUGCCUGCAGCCACCGGCGCCGAAGCCCCCAGCCGCGACGGCUGUUCUACGACAAAGUCAGCCCGGCGCGAGCUGCGCCAAGACGUGCGAGAGGUCGCAUCCGCCGCGCCACUUCCGACCUCCGGAGCUCCGGCACAGAGGGGGCAGGAAGCACGGCAGGGAGACGCUGGACCCCGGCCAUGCUCCACGGGCACCUACCGGACGAGCUGCUGGGCCAUGCCGCCCCGGCACAGCCACGCUCCACGGGCACCUACCGGACAAGCUGCCAGGCCAUGCCGCCCCGGCAAAGCCGCGCUCCACAGGCACCUACCGGACAAGCUGCCGGGCCAUGCUGCCCCAGCACGGCUGCGCUCCAUGGGCACCUACCGGACGAGCUGCUGGGCCAUGCCGCCCCGGCACAGCCACGCUCCGCGGGCACCUACCGGACAAGCUGCUGGGCCAUGCCGCCCCGGCACAGCCACGCUCCGCGGGCACCUACCGGACGAGCUGCCGGGCCAUGCCGCCCCGGUUGGCGCGGCCGCUCAGCUCGGUGGCACCGCGUCACGCCGGACGCACGUGGCGGCAGGACCGGCGCUUCCUGCGUGGCCACGACGGGAAGCGCCGCUCGCCUCACCGCUCGCCUCAGCCGGUCGCCACGGAAACGGGCUGUGGGCGAGCGCCGUCGCGGGACGCGGAUGCGGGUGGGACGCGGGAUGCUGGAUGCGGAUGGGAUAUGGGAUGCGGGAUGUGGGACGCGGGAUGCCCGCGGCAGGGGCGGCCCCGCUGCCGGACGGCUCCCCCGAGCGCCGCCCGCCGCCUCCGGGCCGCAGCGAGGAGGAGGA